GACGAACGCUGGCGGCGCGCUUAACAUAUGCAAGUCGAACGGAAAGGCCUGCUUUCCCUUGUGGAUUGCGGGUACUCGAGUGGCGAACGGGUGAGUAACACGUGAGUGAUCUGCCCCCAACUUGGGUAUAAGCCUGGGAAACUGGGUCUAAUUCCCGAUAGGACUGCAGGGUGGUGCCUGUGGUGGAAAACGAUUUUCUAGUGGUUGGGGAUGAGCUCGCGGCCUAUCAGCUUGUUGGUGGGGUAAUGGCCUACCAAGGCGGCGACGGGUAGCCGGCCUGAGAGGGUGGACGGCCACAUUGGGACUGAGAUACGGCCCAGACUCCUACGGGAGGCAGCAGUGGGGAAUAUUGCACAAUGGGCGGAAGCCUGAUGCAGCGACGCCGCGUGGGGGAUGACGGCCUUCGGGUUGUAAACUCCUUUCGACCGCGAGGAAGCCACCUGGUUGGAAGGGUGGUGACGGUAGUGGUAGAAGAAGCACCGGCUAACUACGUG
RNAcentral lists this ribosomal RNA (494 nucleotides) under uncultured bacterium. RNAcentral describes it as "partial 16S ribosomal RNA". It matches the Rfam family "Bacterial small subunit ribosomal RNA", at positions 28 to 507 of the family's 1533-position model. The record is from RNAcentral.